Molecule: ribosomal RNA, 431 nt
Filed under: uncultured bacterium
Lineage: Bacteria
Description: partial 16S ribosomal RNA
Rfam family: Bacterial small subunit ribosomal RNA
Source: RNAcentral
CGAACGCUGGCGGCAGGCCUAACACAUGCAAGUCGAACGAAGUCUUCGGACUUAGUGGCGCACGGGUGAGUAACACGUGGGAAUAUACCUUACGCUGGGGGAUAACAUCGGGAAACUGAUGCUAAUACCGCAUACGCCCUUCGGGGGAAAGAUUUAUCGGCGAAAGAUUAGCCCGCGUCCGAUUAGCUAGUUGGUGAGGUAAUGGCUCACCAAGGCUCCGAUCGGUAGCUGGUCUGAGAGGAUGACCAGCCACACUGGGACUGAGACACGGCCCAGACUCCUACGGGAGGCAGCAGUGGGGGAUAUUGGACAAUGGGCGCAAGCCUGAUCCAGCCAUGCCGCGUGAGUGAUGAAGGCCUUAGGGUUGUAAAGCUCUUUCACCCACGACGAUGAUGACGGUAGUGGGAGAAGAAGCCCCGGCUAACUUCGUG